CGCACGGGUUGAGUACACGUGGAUACUUCCCCGAGUGGUGGAUACCUGCGAAAGGCGGGCUAAUACAGCAUGGGACCACGCCUCUUUUGGUGUGGUGAAAGCAGGCUGAGGUAAACAAGCUUGCGCUUGGGGAUGGGUCCGCGUCCCAUCAGCUAUUGGUGAGGUAACGGCUCACCAAGGCUACGACGGGUACUGGUCUGAAGGAUGAUCAGCACACUGGAACUGAACACGGUCCAACUCCUACGGGAGGCAGCAGUGGGGAAUCUUGCGCAAUGGGCGAAAGCCUGACGCAGCGACGCCGCGUGGGUGACGAAGGCCUUCGGGUUGUAAAGCCCUGUGGAGAGGAACGAAUCGGGGGGGGCGAACACCCUCCCGUCCUGACGGUACCUUUUUAGCAAGCAUCGGCUAACUCUGUGCCAGCAGCCGCGGUAAGACAGAGGAUGCGAACGUUGCUCGGAAUUACUGGGCGUAAGCGCGAGCAGGUGGCCUUGUAGUCGGGUGUUGAAAAUCCCCGGGGCUCAAACCCCGGAAGUGCACCACGAUACUGUGAGGCUGGAGUACUGAAGAAGGAGAGCGGAAUUCCCCGGUGUAAGGUGAAAU
This 600-nucleotide ribosomal RNA is filed under the name uncultured bacterium. Its description in RNAcentral is "bacterial SSU rRNA". It matches the Rfam family "Bacterial small subunit ribosomal RNA", at positions 99 to 687 of the family's 1533-position model. The record is from RNAcentral.